This 62-nucleotide small nuclear RNA is filed under the name Microcebus murinus (gray mouse lemur). RNAcentral's name for it is "U7 small nuclear RNA (ENSMICG00000042416.1)". It matches the Rfam family "U7 small nuclear RNA". Rfam says of the family: Animal histone pre-mRNAs are spliced by a different mechanism than nuclear pre-mRNAs and self-splicing introns. This processing involves the U7 snRNP, which contains only one RNA species: U7. The record is from Rfam by way of RNAcentral. Lineage: Eukaryota; Metazoa; Chordata; Mammalia; Primates; Cheirogaleidae.
UAGUGUUAUGGCUCUUUUAGAAUUUGUCUAGCAGGUUUUCUGGUUUUUAUUGGAAGACUCCC